RNAcentral lists this ribosomal RNA (206 nucleotides) under Salmonella enterica subsp. enterica serovar Kentucky. RNAcentral describes it as "partial 23S ribosomal RNA". It matches the Rfam family "Bacterial large subunit ribosomal RNA", at positions 1 to 198 of the family's 2925-position model. The record is from RNAcentral. Lineage: Bacteria; Pseudomonadati; Pseudomonadota; Gammaproteobacteria; Enterobacterales; Enterobacteriaceae.
GGGUUGUGAGGUUAAGCGACUAAGCGUACACGGUGGAUGCCCUGGCAGUCAGAGGCGAUGAAGGGCGUGCUAAUCUGCGAUAAGCGCCGGUAAGGUGAUAUGAACCGUUAUAACCGGCGAUACCCGAAUGGGGAAACCCAGUGUGACUCGUCACACUAUCAUUAACUGAAUCCAUAGGUUAAUGAGGCGAACCGGGGGAACUGAAA